Molecule: non-coding RNA, 134 nt
Filed under: Rheinheimera nanhaiensis E407-8
Lineage: Bacteria; Pseudomonadati; Pseudomonadota; Gammaproteobacteria; Chromatiales; Chromatiaceae
Also listed under: 1 other name
Description: Rheinheimera sp. E407-8 Molybdenum/Tungsten riboswitch aptamer (Moco RNA motif)
Rfam family: Molybdenum/Tungsten riboswitch aptamer (Moco RNA motif)
Source: Rfam by way of RNAcentral
UUAACGACACAACACCGAGCAAGGCGUUCUAAAGCUGAAAAGCAAUGAAGCCUUUGCCGUGGCACUAACGCCACCGGGUAAGGUUGGAAACGGCAUUACCUCCCCACUUGGAAAGGUGAAUUAUGUUAACUGAC